This 402-nucleotide ribosomal RNA is filed under the name uncultured bacterium. RNAcentral's name for it is "bacterial SSU rRNA". It matches the Rfam family "Bacterial small subunit ribosomal RNA", at positions 975 to 1375 of the family's 1533-position model. The record is from RNAcentral.
CAAGGCUUGACAUAUACGAGAACGGGCCAGCAAAUGGUCAACUCUUUGGACACUCGUAAACAGGUGGUGCAUGGUUGUCGUCAGCUCGUGUCGUGAGAUGUUGGGUUAAGUCCCGCAACGAGCGCAACCCUCGUUCUAUGUUGCCAGCACGUAAUGGUGGGAACUCAUGGGAUACUGCCGGGGUCAACUCGGAGGAAGGUGGGGAUGACGUCAAAUCAUCAUGCCCCUUAUGUCUUGGGCUUCACGCAUGCUACAAUGGCCGGUACAAAGGGCUGCAAUACCGCGAGGUGGAGCGAGUCCCAAAAAGCCGGUCCCAGUUCGGAUUGAGGUCUGCAACUCGACCUCAUGAAGUCGGAGUCGCUAGUAAUCGCAGAUCAGCAACGCUGCGGUGAAUACGUUCCC